CGUUACCCGGGCCUUGUACACACCGCCCGUCACACCACGAAAGUCGGCAACACCCGAAGCCAGUGGCCCAACCGUAAGGAGGGGAGGCUGUCGAAGGGUGGGGGUCGGUGAUUGGGGUG
Molecule: ribosomal RNA, 119 nt
Filed under: uncultured bacterium
Lineage: Bacteria
Description: partial 16S ribosomal RNA
Rfam family: Bacterial small subunit ribosomal RNA
Source: RNAcentral